Molecule: ribosomal RNA, 242 nt
Filed under: uncultured bacterium
Lineage: Bacteria
Description: partial 16S ribosomal RNA
Rfam family: Bacterial small subunit ribosomal RNA
Source: RNAcentral
CACCCUUCGGGGUGUGGAAAGUGGCGGACGGGUGAGGAACACGUAGGAACCUACCCUAGGGUACGGGAUAACCCAUGGAAACGUGGGCUAAUACCGUAUAAUGCCUUCGGGCCAAAGAUUUAUCGCCCUAGGAUGGGCCUGCGUCAGAUUAGGUUGUUGGUGAGGUAAUGGCUCACCAAGCCUACGAUCUGUAGCUGGUCUGAGAGGAUGAUCAGCCACACUGGGACUGAGACACGGCCCAG